Long non-coding RNA from Sebastes umbrosus (honeycomb rockfish), 135 nucleotides. RefSeq lists it as uncharacterized. The record is from RefSeq and is a predicted model, not a curated record. NCBI's taxonomy places the organism in Eukaryota, Metazoa, Chordata, Actinopteri, Perciformes, Sebastidae. The transcript has 3 exons.
AUUAUUGUAAGAAAUUGACUUUAUUACUAGGGGUGUAAAAAAAUAUCGAUAUACAUGAGUAUCGCGAUAUUCUGUUGUGUGAUACUGUUUAGAUUCUCCAAAACACUGUUUUGAUUUUUUUAUUAACCUCUUAAA